This 270-nucleotide ribosomal RNA is filed under the name uncultured prokaryote. RNAcentral describes it as "partial 16S ribosomal RNA". It matches the Rfam family "Bacterial small subunit ribosomal RNA", at positions 524 to 794 of the family's 1533-position model. The record is from RNAcentral.
UACGUAGGGGCAAGCGUUAUCCGGAUUUACUGGGUGUAAAGGGAGCGCAGACGGAACUGCAAGUCUGAUGUGAAAGCCCGGGGCUCAACCGCGGGACUGCAUCGGAUACUGUGGAUCUGGAGUGCCGGAGGGGCAAGCGGAAUUCCUGGUGUAGCGGUGAAAUGCGUAGAUAUUAGGAGGAACACCGGCGGCGAAGGCGGCUUGCUGGACGGCAACUGACGUUGAGGCUCGAAAGCGUGGGGAGCAAACAGGAUUAGAUAUCCCGGUAGU